CCUUCGCCCUCGUCGAGCAGGUCGACCGCGCCGAGCCGGACGGCGGGGUCGGCGACCACGGCGCGCAGCAGCCGUUCGAAGCGGCGGGCGAGGGU
This 95-nucleotide transfer RNA is filed under the name Streptomyces mashuensis. Its description in RNAcentral is "tRNA-Arg". The record is from RNAcentral. Lineage: Bacteria; Bacillati; Actinomycetota; Actinomycetes; Kitasatosporales; Streptomycetaceae.